GGGCAAGUUCUCACAGUGAGAUCACUGACUCACCGGGAACAGAGACCCUGUCUUCCUCCAGGGGCCCCUGGUGAUCCCCAGGAGCAUGAAAGUGGUCCCCUGCUUCUUACCUAAGCUCUCUAAGGACAGAAGAUCCCCAGCACUGGGAAGUCUUCCUUUUGCCCUUGGCAAAUGGCUGACAGUCGCUGGAGAUCUGCUCAGGCAUUAUCUGGAACUCUCUGAGCAGGGAAAGUUGAGUAAAUCCACAUAACCCUGAGGAGUGAAGUUAGGAUCCACUGCUCAGAAGCACAGAAUCACAGAAUCACAGAUUGUCAGAGAUGCGUCAGCUCAGAGAACAUCUAAGUGUCACAUCUUCAUGCUAAAUACAAGAAAACUGAGGUCUGGAGAAACUGAGUUUUUUGCCUAAAAUGACAAAGCAAAUCAGUGGCAGAGCUGAAACCCAAAGCCAAGAUUACUAACUCCUAGUCCAGUUUGCUUCCCAAGAAAUCUUGGAUCUGCAGGCAUCUCUGGGCAUCAUCUGGACCACUCUGUGACCUCAAAUUGGGCUAAGGGUUUUCUAUUCUCUGAUUAGAUAACUUCAAAGACUAGGAUAUAAAACAUUUCCUUGAUGGGCAGUUUGUUUUAAAUAGCUUUCUUUAUUGGAAUAUAAAUGACCUAUGGAAACUGAACAUCUUUAAUUGCACUAUUUGAAGACAUUUGGAAUAUUCAAUUCUUUAUACAUUGAAACCCGUCAAUCUUUUCCUCAGUGAUUUGUUCUCCCACUGUGAGUUCAGAAAGUCUUUCUCUACUGGAGUUAAUUAAAGAUGUAUUUCAUCUUCAAAAAAAAUAAAUUGUACUAUUUGAUAAGCCUUGACAUAUGUAUAUACCGUGAAACUAUCACAACAAUGAAGAUAAUGACAUAUCCAUCAGCCCCAAAAGUUUCUUUGUUCCCUUUUUUAAUGAUGCUCUCUAUCCUACCUAUCACCAC
RNAcentral lists this long non-coding RNA (967 nucleotides) under Equus asinus (donkey). RNAcentral's name for it is "lncRNA (ENSEASG00005026475.1)". The record is from RNAcentral. Lineage: Eukaryota; Metazoa; Chordata; Mammalia; Perissodactyla; Equidae.